Molecule: ribosomal RNA, 921 nt
Filed under: Triticum aestivum (bread wheat)
Lineage: Eukaryota; Viridiplantae; Streptophyta; Magnoliopsida; Poales; Poaceae
Description: partial small subunit ribosomal RNA
Source: RNAcentral
GUACCUAGUGUUCCUUGGGAGGAUAUAUCUAUGGACUUUGUUUUAGGUUUACCUCGAACAAAGAAGGGGAGGGAUAGCAUAUUUGUUGUCAUGGAUAGAUUCUCGAAAAUGGCACACUUUAUACCAUGUCAUAAAAGCGAUGAUGCUGUUAAUGUUGCUGAUUUGUUCUUUCGUGAAAUUAUUCGCUUGCAUGGUGUGCCAAAUACUAUUGUUUCAGAUCGUGAUACUAAAUUUCUUAGCCACUUUUGGAGAUGUUUAUGGGCUAAGUUGGGGACUAAACUGCUUUUUAGUACUACUUGUCACCCCCAAACUGAUAGACAAACUGAAGUAGUCAAUAGAACGUUGUCUACUAUGCUUAGGGCUGUUUUGAAGAAUAAUAAGAAAAUGUGGGAGGAAUGCUUGCCUCAUAUUAAAUUUGCUUAUAAUCGUUCAUUGCAUUCUACUACUAAGAUGUGCCCUUUUGAAGUUGUGUAUGGUUUCCUACCUCGUGCACCUAUUGAUUUGUUGCCUCUUCCAUCUUCGGAGAAGGUUAAUUUUGAUGCUAAACAACGUGCUGAAUUGAUUUUAAAAAUGCAUGAGUUAACUAAGGAAAACAUUGAGCGUAUGAAUGCUAAAUAUAAACUUGCUGGAGAUAAGGGUAGAAAACAUGUUGUGUUUGCACCUGGAGAUCUUGUUUGGUUACAUUUGCGUAAGGAUAGAUUUCCUGAUUUGCGCAAAUCAAAGUUAAUGCCACGUGCUGAUGGUCCCUUUAAGGUGUUAGAGAAAAUAAAUGAUAAUGCAUAUAAACUUGAGCUGCCUGCAGAUUUUGGGGUUAGUCCCACUUUUAACAUUGCAGAUUUGAAGCCUUAUUUGGGUGAGGAAGAUGAACUUCCGUCGAGGAUGACUUCAUUUCAAGAAGGGGAGGAUGAUGAGGACAUCAAU